This 249-nucleotide small RNA is filed under the name Arabidopsis thaliana (thale cress). RNAcentral describes it as "ATSL214420". The record is from RNAcentral. Lineage: Eukaryota; Viridiplantae; Streptophyta; Magnoliopsida; Brassicales; Brassicaceae.
UUUUAUAUGUCGUGUAAGCAUUCAUCUCUAAUUAUAAUUAUACAUAUAUAUAUAUAUAUAUAUAUGCUUGAAUGUUAUAUAUAUGAAAAUUGAUCAACUUUCUCCAUCUUUCCGCCACGUUAGCAAUGGAAAGAAUGCUACUUGUCAUAUCAACAUAUUACAUUUAUUGUUUAAUUUAAUUUAUUUAAGAAUUUUUUAAAUCAUGCAUUAAUUCUUAUUUAAAUAAAAAUUUGACAUGUUUUAACUUAU